UCCCUCCCGACUGUUUACCAAAACACAGCACUUGCCAACUCGUAAGAGGAAGUAUAAGGUGUGACGCCUGCCCGGUGCUCGAAGGUUAAGAGGAUGCGUCAGUCGCAAGAUGAAGCGUUGAAUUGAAGCCCGAGUAAACGGCGGCCGUAACUAUAACGGUCCUAAGGUAGCGAAAUUCCUUGUCGGUUAAAUACCGACCUGCAUGAAUGGCGUAACGAGAUGGGAGCUGUCUCAACCAGAGAUUCAGUGAAAUUGUAGUGGAGGUGAAAAUUCCUCCUACCCGCGGCAAGACGGAAAGACCCCGUGGACCUUUACUACAACUUAGCACUGCUAAUGGGAAUAUCAUGCGCAGGAUAGGUGGGAGGCUUUGAAGUAAGGGCUUUGGCUCUUAUGGAG
RNAcentral lists this ribosomal RNA (396 nucleotides) under Helicobacter pylori. Its description in RNAcentral is "bacterial LSU rRNA". It matches the Rfam family "Bacterial large subunit ribosomal RNA", at positions 1790 to 2185 of the family's 2925-position model. Lineage: Bacteria; Pseudomonadati; Campylobacterota; Epsilonproteobacteria; Campylobacterales; Helicobacteraceae. The record is from RNAcentral.